UCUGAAUUUUAAAAAAAUUCCCAGCUGCUGCUGUUGCUGCUGAUUAUAGAUCACACUUUGGGUAGUGUGUUAAUCAGCAUUUUAUCACUGGGAUCAACAUAUCUGACAAUAACUACUUAGAGGAGAAAAGGUUUAUUCUGGGCUCAUGGUUUCAGAGGUUCAGUUUAUAGUCUGCCAACUCCAUUGCCCUGAGCCCGAGAUGAAGCAUAAGAUCUUUCUAGAAGAGCAUGGCAGAGGAAAGUGGUUCAACUCAGACAGAAUAGGGAGCACAAGGAGCCAGGAACGACCCACUUUCUCCAGCUACACCUACCUGUCUACAGUUACCACCCAGUUAGUUCAUUCAAAUUAUUAAUCCAUAAAAUCUGAUUUAUCUACUGUCUCGGUUAUAGCUCUCCUAAUCUAAUCAUUUCACCCCAAACAUUUCUGCAUUAACACGGGAGCUUCUGGUAGAUACCUCAUAUCCAAACGAUAGUAGGUAACAAGAACUUAAACUAUGGAAAGGUAUCAAAACUAGUCUAUAGAAGCCAGAAAGGAAAAGACUGAUAUAUGUGAUUGUAGGUUCUCCCUUUAUGGUCAGUUUCCUUUUUAAUGGACAAAGAGGCUAGUAUUAAGAAUAUGUAUAGGACACCAAUAAAUCAAUAAGGAAAAGGCAAAAGAUGAGAAAAAAAAGGGCA
This 674-nucleotide long non-coding RNA is filed under the name Marmota monax (woodchuck). Lineage: Eukaryota; Metazoa; Chordata; Mammalia; Rodentia; Sciuridae. The record is from RNAcentral.